GAAAAACCCGCGGCGUGAGUAGGCCACGGAUGGCACUACUGCUGCACGAUUCGUCGGUAAGUCUCCAUUUUUCUCUGUACGUUUGGUCUAUUUGAUUCGUCUCACUAUUCUUGAUUUAGUGCAGUGUAGGUGGAAUUUCUUAGCCACGUGUCUUGUACUCUUGUAUCAUGUGCAAGUGGAGCUUGUCUCUCCCCUCUUACAUUGCCUUCUUUAUUUCUCACAUUGCUGGGAUUCAGAAUGAACAUGCAGAUAAGCAAACCAAAACAUGAUUGAUUAUUUCCCCAUGCUAAAAAUCAUUUUGUACUGAUGGCAGCAAUUGUAUAUGAUACAUUUGGAGACUCGAAGAAAAUAUUCCCCUGUAUUUGGGAAAUAAAUGAACAAAACAAUCAAGUAUUGCUGUGGAUUUUUGGGACAUUUGACACUUACAAAAAAGUGGUUUAUUAUGCGGGGAGUUUGGAAUCAUCACUCAACCGGUUUCUUAAUGGGGCAUGUUUCAGAUCAUGUUUCUUUUCGAGGUGUUAGAAAAGAAAGUUCAAGUUGUUUAAGUGUCUGAUUUGUGGAUUUGUGUAGCAGAGACUUUCUGAGGCUAGAAGGCACCUCUCUUAAUUGAUUAUGAUGUCAGACUUCAGAAACAAUGGAAAUAGUGAGAAACAAAGAAGUAUUUCAAGCAAACCAAUGGAUUCUAUUGUUACCAUUCCAUUCUCUCGAAGUUUAUGAAUGGCAUCAAAACUGACCUUCCUUGGUGGCGCAAUACUUCCAUGCAUCGUUGUCAUAUUUAAUUGGCCUUCUGAAAUCACUUUGCACAAACUAAUGUAGGUAGCUUGCUAUGAGUUUGUUUGAACCACUUGAUGGAUCUGAAGAGUUUCUGUUAAUGUUUCUAUUUUAUUGACUCGUGAGCAUUGAGCUGGUCAGUCACCAUUUCUGUAUACCUCUUGGGGACGUUAUAUUGUCCUGAACUAACAUCAUGUGCACAUCUAUUUUUUCGGUGGUGUCAACAACUGCUUUCAGAGUAGCUGACUGUGCUGCUUCUGCUUAAGAUUUCUGUCAUAUUGUUCUAUUCACGCAGUAGAACCAUUUGUAUAUGUACUGUUGUAGUUAUGCCAUCCGUUAAAUUUAGUAUGUUUCAUUUUCUACAGAUUCUCUAGGACUUCAAGGAAGAAUAUUGAGUCAAGAAAAAGGUGGAUGUCGUGAGGUCUGACUAGACCCUUCUCUGGCAAUCGGUUUGUUGUACUGUAUGAAAUGGUUACUCAGAGACCGUUAAUAUCACGAUGAUAUUGCCAGAUGUAGGCCUUGAUGGUUCAAUUGCUUAUUCUGUUAGAGACAUGUGGAAGAGAAAAUGAUCACUAGAUGGCUCAGAUCGUUCAGGUUCCCUCCUUUCAGGAUUGUUGGUGGAGCUCAUUGUGUUUGUGAAGGUACCUAAUAUUGUUGAUGAUCCAAACCCUCCCCUGCCCCAUCUACUACGACUUCGACAGUUAACACAAGGUUGCUUUCAUAUUUUGUUCCGAGCUUAUUUGAUCGUUUGGUUGACAAUCAGUGCUUCCAUCGUCCAGCUGGUAUGGCUUCCUUGCCUUCGCCCCAUGCUUUGCCAUCCCUACCAGUAGGAGCACAGCAGAAAUGUGAUGAUAGCCUCCGGCAACCAUGGCCAGAAAGUAGAUAUGCUACCCCCUCAAAUGUCUCCUUACUGUAAUUAGUUUAAGUGUUGUUGCUUACAACCUCCUCA
Molecule: long non-coding RNA, 1720 nt
Organism: Lolium rigidum
Lineage: Eukaryota; Viridiplantae; Streptophyta; Magnoliopsida; Poales; Poaceae
Exons: 7
Source: RefSeq, a predicted model, not a curated record